GUUUCACUAAGGGCCCAUAAAUUCAAGGUAUGUUAGCUAUCUGUCGCUCUAUGGACCCCUUAAUACGAGAUCGUAUUAAGCGCGCGUCUUUAUUUAAAGAGUUUAAGACAUUGCGCAUGCUGUUGGGCUCUGAAAGCAACGAACGUGACCGCAACGUCUUGUUGCCUUAAUAAAGCAAGUUGUGUUAAUAGCAAUAUUAACCGCUUACAAAGGCUAUUUAAAACUAGACGGACCGCUGUUUCUUUUCUUAAACCAGAGGAAGGUUGCGGCAAUAACAGGUCUGUGAUGCCCUUAGAUGUUCCGGGCUGCACACGUGCUACAAUGAUCAGUACAGUGAGCAUCUCAAUAUAAUACACCGUCUUUAGCGCUUAGACGCGAUUAUCGGCUUACUUUUUAUUAAGGAGGUCUGUUUAAUCGAUGUUUUCUAAUGUGCGCGGUAAAGCCUGCUUCGAGAGUAAGCGGGUAAUCCAUUGGAAGUAAUGAUUUCUCUAUAUCUAGUGCACAACUAUGCACGGCACUCAUUCCCGAGACGGCUAGUUUCGUCUUUUAGUGUGAAUGUGGUGUUAUUCAAACGUGCGUGCAAUUGUCAAUUCAUGGUGGGGACAGACCAUUGUUAACUGUUGGUCUCGGUCUUAACUAGGAAUGCCUUGUACGGGUCUUUGGUUCAACAAACCACCCGGAAUACGUCCCUGCCCUUUGCACACACCGCCCGUCGCUCUUACCGAUGGACUUUUUUGUGAGUCUAAGGGACUGGGUUAAACCACUCGUUUAUUCGGAUGGCAGUACCUAUGGAAACUUAUGCGAACACAGUGGUCUAAAGGAAAGAGAAGUCGUAACAAGGC
RNAcentral lists this ribosomal RNA (842 nucleotides) under Neogloboquadrina pachyderma. Its description in RNAcentral is "bacterial SSU rRNA". It matches the Rfam family "Eukaryotic small subunit ribosomal RNA", at positions 1313 to 1800 of the family's 1831-position model. The record is from RNAcentral. Lineage: Eukaryota; Foraminifera; Rotaliida; Globorotaliidae.